GCACCGGUCGUGCAUGGUGCACCCUCCGUUUCAUGUAAAGGUAAGGCAUCAAGCAAUAACUGGGUGAGGCGGGGUUCGAUUCCCCGCCGGUGCA
This is a non-coding RNA of Mycena crocata, 94 nucleotides long. The record is from the annotation of a GenBank genome assembly. Lineage: Eukaryota; Fungi; Basidiomycota; Agaricomycetes; Agaricales; Mycenaceae.